AUGUUGAGCAUCAUGAGUUGUCCAGAGCUGGUCCUGGUGGACCCCCUUUCAACUUUUCUUCCUGCCAGAGGAGGGCUCCAGGCCCUGCCGUCCCUCAAGAAGUUACAAAUUUGGUCCUGCUCCAAGAUACUAUCCGCAGAGAGUUCUCCAUCCUGCUGCCCUUUUCCAUCCUCCCUGCAACAACUCGUUCUUGAGGGUGUGGAAGGCACGGUGACCCUCGGGCCUCUCCUUACUGCUGGGGGAAAGCUCAUAUGGUUAGUCAUUGGUGGCUGCCCUGGAUUCUUUGUUGGAUGGGAUCAGGAAUUGCAGAAGCUACAGAAUGGAGGAAAAGAGCAGGAACUGCAGCAGCUUGUUUCACCCCUGAAUGGAUGCAAACUGUAG
This 381-nucleotide ribosomal RNA is filed under the name Triticum aestivum (bread wheat). RNAcentral describes it as "partial small subunit ribosomal RNA". The record is from RNAcentral. Lineage: Eukaryota; Viridiplantae; Streptophyta; Magnoliopsida; Poales; Poaceae.